AUUGAACGCUGGCGGCAGGCCUAACACAUGCAAGUCGAGCGGAUGAAGGGAGCUUGCUCCUGGAUUCAGCGGCGGACGGGUGAGUAAUGCCUAGGAAUCUGCCUGGUAGUGGGGGAUAACGUCCGGAAACGGGCGCUAAUACCGCAUACGUCCUGAGGGAGAAAGUGGGGGAUCUUCGGACCUCACGCUAUCAGAUGAGCCUAGGUCGGAUUAGCUAGUUGGUGGGGUAAAGGCCUACCAAGGCGACGAUCCGUAACUGGUCUGAGAGGAUGAUCAGUCACACUGGAACUGAGACACGGUCCAGACUCCUACGGGAGGCAGCAGUGGGGAAUAUUGGACAAUGGGCGAAAGCCUGAUCCAGCCAUACCGCGUGUGUGAAGAAGGUCUUCGGAUUGUAAAGCACUUUAAGUUGGGAGGAAGGACAGUAAGUUAAUACCUUGCUGUUUUGACGUUACCAACAGAAUAAGCACCGGCUAACUUCGUG
RNAcentral lists this ribosomal RNA (484 nucleotides) under uncultured bacterium. Its description in RNAcentral is "partial 16S ribosomal RNA". It matches the Rfam family "Bacterial small subunit ribosomal RNA", at positions 30 to 507 of the family's 1533-position model. The record is from RNAcentral.